Molecule: unclassified non-coding RNA, 811 nt
Filed under: Hevea brasiliensis (rubber tree)
Lineage: Eukaryota; Viridiplantae; Streptophyta; Magnoliopsida; Malpighiales; Euphorbiaceae
Source: RNAcentral
CAUCACCUCCAAAAGCCUUUGUAGCACUAUACCACUCAUCCACCAAAACUUUCCAUCCAUCUAUAAGAGUUCGUGCAAGGUGACAAAUCUGCUUUGAACCAUGCUUCCGGAGGCUAUUGACAGCCUUUNCCGAUCUCGGUUGCCUUAAGUGUAUCCACAGUCAGAGCCAUCAAUUGAAGCCUUCUUAACGAUUCAAACAACACAGAAUCAGACUCAUCUCUGCUGUUGAGAAGAAUGUCCUUGAUCCUCAAGACCUCACCAACUAUCUGAGACUCUUCUUCAAUCUCAUCAGUCAAGGCCUCAGCCUCUCCGUAACUAUAAUUACUCACCAAGUGAUCAUUCACAUUAACCUCCCCAUUAUCAAAAUCAUUAUCAUCCCUAUUACUACUAUUGACCUUGCUCUCCUUGCUCCCUCUACCCUCAAACUCACAUCCAUCAAUAUCAAUAUCUUCGUCAUCAUUAGCACCAUUACCACAACCACCAUCUCUUCUAUUGCANNNNNNNNNNNCCUUCAGGAGCGGGCACAGCCAGUUCAACCCGAUUGCAACCGGUGCACCGGGUCAAUCUGGAAGAAAACAAACGCUCAGCAAUUCGAUCUCUACGCAACCGGAACUCUUUGGGACAAUCUGAGGCUGCAACAAUGAUCGCAUGAUCGAUAAUACCAAAAAUAUCACAAUUUGCAGUACUAAAAUAGUUCCUCCAGUAAUCUAACGACAAGGGUUUCAUCAUGAUUUGACAACCCAGAUCGGUCGAGAUUCUCUUGUCGAUUAUGAGGUUUAAUUCAUAUGUGAAUAGGAAAAAUGAAUGUCAA